RNAcentral lists this ribosomal RNA (539 nucleotides) under uncultured fungus. RNAcentral's name for it is "SSU rRNA". It matches the Rfam family "Eukaryotic small subunit ribosomal RNA", at positions 300 to 837 of the family's 1831-position model. Lineage: Eukaryota; Fungi. The record is from RNAcentral.
CAAAUUUCUGCCCUAUCAACUUUCGAUGGUAGGAUAGUGGCCUACCAUGGUUUCAGACGGGUAACGGGGAAUUAGGGUUCUAUUCCGGAGAGGGAGCCUGAGAAACGGCUACCACAUCCAAGGAAGGCAGCAGGCGCGCAAAUUACCCAAUCCCGAUACGGGGAGGUAGUGACAAUAAAUACUGAUACAGGGCUCUUUUGGGUCUUGUAAUUGGAAUGAGUACAAUUUAAAUCCCCUUAACGAGGAACAAUUGGAGGGCAAGUCUGGUGCCAGCAGCCGCGGUAAUUCCAGCUCCAAUAGCGUAUAUUAAAGUUGUUGCAGUUAAAAAGCUCGUAGUUGAACCUUGGGGCCUGGCUGGCCGGUCCGCCUCAAUCGAGUGCACUGGUCCGGCCGGGUCUUUCCUUCUGGGGAGCCGUAUGCCCUUCACUGGGUGUGUCGGGGAAACCAGGACUUUUACUUUGAAAAAAAUUAGAGUGUUCAAGCAGGCCUAUGCUGCGAAUACAUUAGCAUGGGAAUAAAUAGAAUAGGACGUGUGGGUC